GACGAACGCUGGCGGCACGCUUAACACAUGCAAGUCGAACGAGAGAAGAGAAGCUUGCUUUUCUGAUCUAGUGGCGGACGGGUGAGUAACACGUGAGCAAUCUGCCUUUCAGAGGGGGAUACCGAUUGGAAACGAUCGUUAAUACCGCAUAACAUAAUUGAACCGCAUGAUUUGAUUAUCAAAGAUUUAUCGCUGAAAGAUGAGCUCGCGUCUGAUUAGCUAGUUGGUAAGGUAACGGCUUACCAAGGCGACGAUCAGUAGCCGGACUGAGAGGUUGAUCGGCCACAUUGGGACUGAGACACGGCCCAGACUCCUACGGGAGGGAGCAGUGGGGAAUAUUGCACAAUGGAGGAAACUCUGAUGCAGCGAUGCCGCGUGAGGGAAGAAGGUUUUAGGAUUGUAAACCUCUGUCUUCAGGGACGAAAAAAGACGGUACCUGAGGAGGAAGCUCCGGCUAACUACGUG
RNAcentral lists this ribosomal RNA (465 nucleotides) under uncultured bacterium. RNAcentral's name for it is "partial 16S ribosomal RNA". It matches the Rfam family "Bacterial small subunit ribosomal RNA", at positions 28 to 507 of the family's 1533-position model. The record is from RNAcentral.